AAACUUAAAUGAAUUGACGGGGACCCGCACAAGCGGUGGAGCAUGUGGUUUAAUUCGAAGCAACGCGAAGAACCUUACCAAAUCUUGACGUCCUCUGACCCCUCUAGAGAUAGAGUUUUCCCCUUCGGGGGACAGAGUGACAGGUGGUGCAUGGUUGUCGUCAGCUCGUGUCGUGAGAUGUUGGGUUAAGUCCCGCAACGAGCGCAACCCUUAAGCUUAGUUGCCAUCAUUAAGUUGGGCACUCUAAGUUGACUGCCGGUGACAAACCGGAGGAAGGUGGGGAUGACGUCAAAUCAUCAUGCCCCUUAUGAUUUGGGCUACACACGUGCUACAAUGGACAAUACAAAGGGCAGCGAACCGCGAGGUCAAGCAAAUCCCAUAAAGUUAGUUCUCAGUUCGGAUUGUAGUCUGCAACUCGACUACAUGAAGCUGGAAUCGCUAGUAAUCGUAGAUCAGCAUGCUACGGUGAAUACGUUCCCGGGUCUUGUACACACCGCCCGUCACACCACGAGAGUUUGUAACACCCGAAGCCGGUGGAGUAACCAUUUUAUGGAGCUAGCCGUCGAAGGUGGGACAAAUGAUUGGGGUGAAGUCGUAACAAGGUAGCCGUAUCGGAAGGUGCGGCUGGAUCACCUCCUUUAUGAG
This 645-nucleotide ribosomal RNA is filed under the name uncultured Staphylococcus sp. RNAcentral's name for it is "bacterial SSU rRNA". It matches the Rfam family "Bacterial small subunit ribosomal RNA", at positions 897 to 1533 of the family's 1533-position model. Lineage: Bacteria; Bacillati; Bacillota; Bacilli; Caryophanales; Staphylococcaceae. The record is from RNAcentral.